This is a long non-coding RNA of Misgurnus anguillicaudatus (oriental weatherfish), 379 nucleotides long. RefSeq lists it as uncharacterized. The record is from RefSeq and is a predicted model, not a curated record. Lineage: Eukaryota; Metazoa; Chordata; Actinopteri; Cypriniformes; Cobitidae.
UGAAUGUGAUUCAUGUGGACCGGUCGGUUAUGUACCUGUUGCUGUUGUUGACAUCAAAACAUUUUGUUUUGAAACAAAGCCAUCGUGAUGAUAUGUCAUGUAGUGACACUACCGCAUAGUCAUGUAAAUGCCAGGUGUAAUGGAGAACCAAUUGAGACUUUGGAGAAUAAGGCCCACUACCAACAUUUCUCACGCAGCCUGACAUCAAUUCGUAUGCCAUGUACAGGGUCUUUAUAUUUGCAGGUACCCGGCUGUGGUUUAUUGGUGAGAAACCAGAAUGCUUAAUGUAGUGCAAGUUUGGUUUGGCAGAGUUUGUUCACAGGCAUCAUUUCACACAGAUGUGUCACAUUACUCAUUGAUCAAAAUCAGCAGCCGAAAA